This 220-nucleotide unclassified non-coding RNA is filed under the name plant metagenome. RNAcentral's name for it is "partial contains small subunit ribosomal RNA and internal transcribed spacer 1". The stretch from base 1 to 54 matches the Rfam family "Eukaryotic small subunit ribosomal RNA", at positions 1778 to 1831 of the family's 1831-position model. The record is from RNAcentral.
GGAAGUAAAAGUCGUAACAAAGUUUCCGUAGGUGAACCUGUGGAAGGAUCAUUAGCAGAGGAGAGGAUUUGGGGCCAGAGGAGUCUGGUCACAUUUGCGGGGGGGUUGUUUUGUUGUGUCGUGUCGUGUCGUGUGACAUGUGUGACACGUGUGACAUUACACUGUUACACUAUGUUGCAAUAUUACACUUGAGCUCUCAACAAUGGAUCUCUGGGCUCUU